GACGAACGCUGGCGGCGUGCCUAAUACAUGCAAGUCGAACGCUCAAGAGAGGAGCUUGCUCUUCUUGGAUGAGUUGCGAACGGGUGAGUAACGCGUAGGUAACCUGCCUUUUAGCGGGGGAUAACUAUUGGAAACGAUAGCUAAUACCGCAUAAUAAUGUAUGACCCAUGUCAUUUAUUUGAAAGAGGCAAAUGCUCCACUACAAGAUGGACCUGCGUUGUAUUAGCUAGUAUGUGAGGUAACGGCCUAACUAGGCGAAGAUACAUAGCCGACCUGGGAGGGUGGACGGCCAACCUUGGACCUGAGAACCGGCCCAACUCCCAAGGGAGGCAACAGUAAGGGAACUUCGGGAAAGGGGGGAAACCUUAACGGACAAAGCCGGGGGGAGGAAGGAGGGUUUUGGGUCGUAAAGCCUUGGUGUAAGGCGAGGACGAGUGUUGGAGGUGACUGUGCACGCCGUGACGGUAGCUUACCAGAAAGCGACGGCUAACUACGUG
RNAcentral lists this ribosomal RNA (497 nucleotides) under uncultured bacterium. Its description in RNAcentral is "partial 16S ribosomal RNA". It matches the Rfam family "Bacterial small subunit ribosomal RNA", at positions 28 to 507 of the family's 1533-position model. The record is from RNAcentral.